RNAcentral lists this ribosomal RNA (207 nucleotides) under uncultured bacterium. Its description in RNAcentral is "partial 16S ribosomal RNA". It matches the Rfam family "Bacterial small subunit ribosomal RNA", at positions 568 to 774 of the family's 1533-position model. The record is from RNAcentral.
CGCGUAGGCGGCUCGCUAAGUCGGAUGUGAAAACUCUGGGCUCAACCCAGAGCCUGCAUUCGAAACUGACGAGCUCGAGUUCUGGAGGGGAAAGCGGAAUUCCUGGUGUAGCGGUGAAAUGCGUAGAUAUCAGGAGGAACACCGGUGGCGAAGGCGGCUUUCUGGACAGAAACUGACGCUGAUGCGCGAAAGCUAGGGGAGCAAACA